Molecule: ribosomal RNA, 250 nt
Filed under: uncultured bacterium
Lineage: Bacteria
Description: partial 16S ribosomal RNA
Rfam family: Bacterial small subunit ribosomal RNA
Source: RNAcentral
UACAGAGGGUGCAAGCGUUAAUCGGAAUUAUUGGGCGUAAAGGGCAUGUAGGUGGCACCUUAAGUCUGAUGUGAAAGCCCUGGGCUUAACCUGGGAAUUGCGUUGGAAACUGAGGAGCUAGAGUCGGUCAGAGGGCCGUGGAAUUUCCGGUGUAGCAGUGAAAUGCGUAGAGAUCGGAAAGAACACCAGUGGCGAAGGCGGCGGCCUGGGACCAGACUGACACUGAGGUGCGAAAGCAUGGGGAGCAAAC